RNAcentral lists this small RNA (27 nucleotides) under Bombyx mori (domestic silkworm). RNAcentral's name for it is "ovarian small RNA-37841". Lineage: Eukaryota; Metazoa; Arthropoda; Insecta; Lepidoptera; Bombycidae. The record is from RNAcentral.
UUGCCGCCAUUCCGCCACCAAGGCCAG